GGCGGCAGGCCUAACACAUGCAAGUCGAGCGGUAGCGAGAAGCUUGCUUCUCUUGAGAGCGGCGGACGGGUGAGUAAUACCUAGGAAUCUGCCUGAUAGUGGGGGAUAACGUUCGGAAACGGACGCUAAUACCGCAUACGUCCUACGGGAGAAAGCAGGGGACCUUCGGGCCUUGCGCUAUCAGAUGAGCCUAGGUCGGAUUAGCUAGUUGGUGAGGUAAUGGCUCACCAAGGCUACGAUCCGUAACUGGUCUGAGAGGAUGAUCAGUCACACUGGAACUGAGACACGGUCCAGACUCCUACGGGAGGCAGCAGUGGGGAAUAUUGGACAAUGGGCGAAAGCCUGAUCCAGCCAUGCCGCGUGUGUGAAGAAGGUCUUCGGAUUGUAAAGCACUUUAAGUUGGGAGGAAGGGCAGUUACCUAAUACGUGAUUGUCUUGACGUUACCGACAGAAUAAGCACCGGCUAACUCCGUGCCAGCAGCCGCGGUAAUACAGAGGGUGCAAGCGUUAAUCGGAAUUACUGGGCGUAAAGCGCGCGUAGGUGGUUUGUUAAGUUGGAUGUGAAAUCCCCGGGCUCAACCUGGGAACUGCAUCCAAAACUGGCAAGCUAGAGUAUGGUAGAGGGUAGUGGAAUUUCCUGUGUAGCGGUGAAAUGCGUAGAUAUAGGAAGGAACACCAGUGGCGAAGGCGACUACCCGGACUGAUACUGACACUGAGGCGCGAAAGCGUGGGGAGCAAACAGGAUUAGAUACCCUGGUAGUCC
RNAcentral lists this ribosomal RNA (763 nucleotides) under uncultured bacterium. Its description in RNAcentral is "bacterial SSU rRNA". It matches the Rfam family "Bacterial small subunit ribosomal RNA", at positions 38 to 796 of the family's 1533-position model. The record is from RNAcentral.